CCACAGAAUGAAUAUAUUGAAUUACACCAUAAAUGCUAUACCAUUUGGAUUACCAUGAGAGAAAGAGAAAGAAGGAAAGUCGAGAAGCUCAAGAAUGUUCAAAGAAGGCAAAGAAAAUGAUUGGUCUGAAGGCUAAGCUUAAUCAUAAACAGCGCCAUGCUGAGAAAAUACAAAUAAAAAAGACCAUCAAGAUGCAUGAAAAGAGAAACACCAAACAAAAGAAUGAUGAAAAGAUUCCACAGGGAGCAGUACCUGCCUAUCAGCAGGACAGAGAGACAAUCUCGAGCUAAAGUACUUUCCAAUAUGAUUAAACAGAAACGAAAAGAGAAUGAGGGAAAAUGGGAAGUCCCUCUGCCUAAAGUAUGUGCCCAGGGAGAAACAGAAGCAUUAAGUUAUUCAAACAGGAAAGAGAAAGAAGAAGGCAUGGAAGAGGAUGGUUACUGAAGUCUGCUUUGCUAGAGAUGUCUUUACAAGAAAACCACCUAAAUAUGAAAGAUUCAUCAGGCCAAUGGGCUUGCAUUUCAAGAAAGUCCAUGUAACACAACCUGAACUGAAAGCCACCUUUUGCCUACCAAUACUUGGUGUAAAGAAGAAUCCGUCAUUCCCGCUGUAUACAACUUUGGGUGUUAUUACUAAAGACUGUCACUGAGGUAAAUGUGAGUGAAGUGGGCCUUGUGACACAGGGAGGCAAAGUUAUUUGGGGAAAUAUGCCCAGGUUAUCAACAAUCCUGAAAAUGAUGGAUGCAUAAAUGCAGUCUUACUGGUUUGA
Molecule: long non-coding RNA, 769 nt
Filed under: Homo sapiens (human)
Lineage: Eukaryota; Metazoa; Chordata; Mammalia; Primates; Hominidae
Description: non-protein coding lnc-TIGD4-3:1
Source: RNAcentral